This 301-nucleotide ribosomal RNA is filed under the name uncultured bacterium. RNAcentral's name for it is "partial 16S ribosomal RNA". It matches the Rfam family "Bacterial small subunit ribosomal RNA", at positions 509 to 807 of the family's 1533-position model. The record is from RNAcentral.
CAGUCGCCGCGGUAAUACAGAGGGUGCGAGCGUUAAUCGGAUUUACUGGGCGUAAAGCGUGCGUAGGCGGCUUCUUAAGUCGGAUGUGAAAUCCCUGAGCUUAACUUAGGAAUUGCAUUCGAUACUGGGAAGCUAGAGUAUGGGAGAGGAUGGUAGAAUUCCAGGUGUAGCGGUGAAAUGCGUAGAGAUCUGGAGGAAUACCGAUGGCGAAGGCAGCCAUCUGGCCUAAUACUGACGCUGAGGUACGAAAGCAUGGGGAGCAAACAGGAUUAGAUACCCAAGUAGUCCCUGUCUCUUAUAC